AUUUGCUCAAUGGCAGAGCGGCGGCUUCUAAAACCGUGAGUGUCGGUUCGACUCCCGCAUCUCGCACCCCA
This 71-nucleotide transfer RNA is filed under the name Mycobacterium phage Rabinovish. RNAcentral's name for it is "tRNA-OTHER". It matches the Rfam family "tRNA". Rfam says of the family: Transfer RNA (tRNA) molecules are approximately 80 nucleotides in length. Their secondary structure includes four short double-helical elements and three loops (D, anti-codon, and T loops). The record is from RNAcentral. Lineage: Duplodnaviria; Heunggongvirae; Uroviricota; Caudoviricetes.